This 497-nucleotide ribosomal RNA is filed under the name uncultured bacterium. Its description in RNAcentral is "partial 16S ribosomal RNA". It matches the Rfam family "Bacterial small subunit ribosomal RNA", at positions 28 to 507 of the family's 1533-position model. The record is from RNAcentral.
GAUGAACGCUGGCGGCGUGCCUAAUACAUGCAAGUCGAGCGAACGGACGAGAAGCUUGCUUCUCUGAUGUUAGCGGCGGACGGGUGAGUAACACGUGGAUAACCUACCUAUAAGACUGGGAUAACUUCGGGAAACCGGAGCUAAUACCGGAUGAUAUUUUGAACCGCAUGGUUCAAAAGUGAAAGACGGUCUUGCUGUCACUUAUAGAUGGAUCCGCGCUGCAUUAGCUAGUUGGUAAGGUAACGGCUUACCAAGGCAACGAUGCAUAGCCGACCUGAGAGGGUGAUCGGCCACACUGGAACUGAGAAACGGUCCAGACUCCUACGGGAGGCAGCAGUAGGGAAUCUUCCGCAAUGGGCGAAGGCCUGACGGAGCAACGCCGCGUGAGUGAUGAAGGUCUUCGGAUCGUAAAACUCUGUUAUUAGGGAAGAACAUAUGUGUAAGUAACUGUGCACAUCUUGACGGUACCUAAUCAGAAAGCCACGGCUAACUACGUG